AGUGAACGCUGGCGGUAGGCCUAACACAUGCAAGUCGAACGGCAGCACAGUAAGAGCUUGCUCUUACGGGUGGCGAGUGGCGGACGGGUGAGGAAUACAUCGGAAUCUACUUUUUCGUGGGGGAUAACGUAGGGAAACUUACGCUAAUACCGCAUACGACCUACGGGUGAAAGCAGGGGAUCUUCGGACCUUGCGCGAUUGAAUGAGCCGAUGUCGGAUUAGCUAGUUGGCGGGGUAAAGGCCCACCAAGGCGACGAUCCGUAGCUGGUCUGAGAGGAUGAUCAGCCACACUGGAACGGAGACACGGUCCAGACUCCUAUGGGAGGCAGCAGUGGGGAAUAUUGGACAAUGGGCGCAAGCCUGAUCCAGCCAUACCGCGUGGGUGAAGAAGGCCUUCGGGUUGUAAAGCCCUUUUGUUGGGAAAGAAAAGCAGCAGGUUAAUACCCCGCUGUUCUGACGGUACCCAAAGAAUAAGCACCGGCUAACUUCGUG
This 492-nucleotide ribosomal RNA is filed under the name uncultured bacterium. Its description in RNAcentral is "partial 16S ribosomal RNA". It matches the Rfam family "Bacterial small subunit ribosomal RNA", at positions 29 to 507 of the family's 1533-position model. The record is from RNAcentral.